GCCCAUGGAGAGGAAAAUUCAUGCUGGAGCAGGUUAUUCCCGGGGAGAUCUAUGUGCAGUUCUCCUAUUUCGAAAUGGUUGUUAUGUCUAUUUGGAUGAAGAUGACCUUUUCUGCCAAAGGCUGCCAUGAAUUCAGAAUCACUAAACACAGCAGAUGAUGGUAAAGAAAUUAUUUGUGGACUUUUGCAAAAAAAAUAUUUUCUACAGUUGCUGCUAAAAUGAAGAGAAUCACAUCCAGUCAGAAAAAGAAAAAAACAAAA
Molecule: long non-coding RNA, 260 nt
Organism: Chiroxiphia lanceolata (lance-tailed manakin)
Lineage: Eukaryota; Metazoa; Chordata; Aves; Passeriformes; Pipridae
Exons: 2
Source: RefSeq, a predicted model, not a curated record